GACGAACGCUGGCGGCGUGCUUAACACAUGCAAGUCGAGCGGUAAGGCCCUUUCGGGGGUACACGAGCGGCGAACGGGUGAGUAACACGUGGGUGACCUGCCCUCAGCUCUGGGAUAAGCCUGGGAAACUGGGUCUAAUACUGGAUAUGACUCCACGGUGCAUGUCGUGGGGUGGAAAGCCUUGUGCGGCUGAGGAGUGGGCCCGCGGCCUAUCAGCUUGUUGGUGGGGUGANGGCCUACCAAGGCGACGACGGGUAGCCGGCCUGAGAGGGCGACCGGCCACACUGGGACUGAGACACGGCCCAGACUCCGUACGGG
RNAcentral lists this ribosomal RNA (318 nucleotides) under uncultured bacterium. RNAcentral's name for it is "bacterial SSU rRNA". It matches the Rfam family "Bacterial small subunit ribosomal RNA", at positions 28 to 345 of the family's 1533-position model. The record is from RNAcentral.